This 460-nucleotide ribosomal RNA is filed under the name uncultured bacterium. Its description in RNAcentral is "partial 16S ribosomal RNA". It matches the Rfam family "Bacterial small subunit ribosomal RNA", at positions 338 to 795 of the family's 1533-position model. The record is from RNAcentral.
CCUACGGGAGGCAGCAGUGAGGAAUAUUGGUCAAUGGGCGAAAGCCUGAACCAGCGAAGUCGCGUGAGGGAAGACGGCCCUACGUGUGGUAAACUUCUUUUAUAAAGAAGUAAAUGAAGGCACGUGUGCCUGUAUGUAUGGACUUUAUGAAUAAGGAUCGGGUAACUCCGUGCCAGCGGCCGCGGUAAUACGGAGGAUCCGAGCGUUAUCCGGAUUUAUUGGGUUUAAAGGGAGCGUAGAUGGGUUGUUAAGUCAGGUGUGAAAGUUUGCGGCUCAACCGUAAAAUUGCAAUUGAUACUGGCAGUCUUGAGUACAGUUGAGGUAGGCGGAAUUCGUGGUGUAGCGGUGAAAUGCUUAGAUAUCACGAAGAACUCCGAUUGCGAAGGCAGCUUACUAAACUGCCACUGACAUUGAUGCUCGAAAGUGUGGGUAGCAAACAGGAUUAGAUACCCUUGUAGUC